UACGUAGGCAGCAAGCGUUGUUCGGAGUUACUGGGCGUAAAGGGUGUGUAGGCGGUUGGAUAAGUGUGGUGUGAAAUCUCCCGGCUUAACUUGGAGGGUGCGCUACAAACUGUCUGACUAGAGUGUGGGAUGGGAGAGUGGAAUUCCUGGUGUAGCGGUGAAAUGCGUAGAUAUCAGGAGGAACACCGGUGGUGUAGACGGCUCUCUGGACCAUAACUGACGCUGAGACACGAAAGCGUGGGUAGCAAACAGG
Molecule: ribosomal RNA, 253 nt
Filed under: uncultured bacterium
Lineage: Bacteria
Description: partial 16S ribosomal RNA
Rfam family: Bacterial small subunit ribosomal RNA
Source: RNAcentral